GUUGACCUCGGAUCAGGUAGGGAUACCCGCUGAACUUAAGCAUAUCAAUAAGCGGAGGAAAAGAAACCAACAGGGAUUGCUCUAGUAACGGCGAGUGAAGCAGCAAUAGCUCAAAUUUGAAAUCUGGCGUCUUCGACGUCCGAGUUGUAAUUUGUAGAGGAUGCUUCUGA
Molecule: ribosomal RNA, 170 nt
Filed under: Cladosporium cladosporioides
Lineage: Eukaryota; Fungi; Ascomycota; Dothideomycetes; Cladosporiales; Cladosporiaceae
Also listed under: 1 other name
Description: partial 28S ribosomal RNA
Rfam family: Eukaryotic large subunit ribosomal RNA
Source: RNAcentral